UGGGGAAUCUUGCACAAUGGGGGAAACCCUGAUGCAGCGACGCCGCGUGAACGAUGAAGCCCUUCGGGGUGUAAAGUUCUUUCGACAGGAACGAUAAUGACGGUACCUGGAGAAGAAGCUGCGGCUAACUACGUGCCAGCAGCCGCGGUAAUACGUAGGCAGCGAGCGUUGUUCGGAGUUACUGGGCGUAAAGAGUGCGUAGGCGGCGAGCCAAGUUUGGUGUGAAAUCUCCCGGCUUAACCGGGAGGGUGCGCCGAAAACUGGUUGGCUGUAGUAUGGGAGAGGAUAGCGGAAUUCCUGGUGUAGCGGUGAAAUGAGUAGAUAUCAGGAGGAACACCUGCGGUGUAGACAGCUGUCUGGACCAGAACUGACGCUGAGGCACGAAAGCGUGGGUAGC
RNAcentral lists this ribosomal RNA (397 nucleotides) under uncultured bacterium. RNAcentral describes it as "bacterial SSU rRNA". It matches the Rfam family "Bacterial small subunit ribosomal RNA", at positions 355 to 769 of the family's 1533-position model. The record is from RNAcentral.